GUGCCCGUUUCAGCAGCACACAGACUAAAACUGGAACAACACAGAGAAGAUUAGCGUGACCGCUGCACACGGAUGCUCAAAGCAUGACUCAAAUAAGCUCCAUGCAUUA
Pteronotus mesoamericanus is the source of this 109-nucleotide small nuclear RNA. Lineage: Eukaryota; Metazoa; Chordata; Mammalia; Chiroptera; Mormoopidae. The record is from RefSeq and is a predicted model, not a curated record.